RNAcentral lists this small RNA (28 nucleotides) under Bombyx mori (domestic silkworm). RNAcentral describes it as "ovarian small RNA-16831". Lineage: Eukaryota; Metazoa; Arthropoda; Insecta; Lepidoptera; Bombycidae. The record is from RNAcentral.
GCGAGGUUCAGUUAGACUGGUAUCAGUA